Molecule: ribosomal RNA, 467 nt
Filed under: Metaperipatus inae
Lineage: Eukaryota; Metazoa; Onychophora; Udeonychophora; Euonychophora; Peripatopsidae
Description: partial 16S ribosomal RNA
Rfam family: Bacterial large subunit ribosomal RNA
Source: RNAcentral
UGCUUUUUGUAAAUAUAAAAAGUAUCACCUGCCCAAUGAUAUCAUUAAAUGGCCGCGGUAUUUUAACCGUGCAAAGGUAGCAUAAUCACUUGCUUUAUAAAUUAAAGCUUGUAUGAAUGGUAAAAUGAAAAUUUCACUGUCUCUUUAAAAAUUUUAAAAUUUAAUUUGUCAGUGAAGAAGCUUACAUUUUUUUAUAAGACGAGAAGACCCUAAUGAGUUUAAUAUAUAAUAAUUUUAAUAAAAAUAUAUAUUUAAUUGGGGUAAUUUAAGAAAAUAUUUUCUUAAAAAAGAAUUAACUAUUAGUCCCAUUAUUAAUGAUUAUUAGUAAAAAUUACCAUAGGGAUAACAGCAUAAUCCUUUUUAAGAGUACUUAUCGACAAAAUGGGUUGUGACCUCGAUGUUGGAUUAAGAGAAUUCUAUAAUGUAGUAAUUAUAAAAAUAAGUCNNNNCGACNNNAAAANNCNNAC